GGGCCGGUAGCUUAGUCAGGUAGAGCGAAAGGCUCUUAACCUUUAGGUCGGGGGUUCAAAUCCCUCUCGGCCCGC
This 75-nucleotide transfer RNA is filed under the name Methanothrix sp. Its description in RNAcentral is "tRNA-Lys". It matches the Rfam family "tRNA". Rfam says of the family: Transfer RNA (tRNA) molecules are approximately 80 nucleotides in length. Their secondary structure includes four short double-helical elements and three loops (D, anti-codon, and T loops). RNAcentral also lists the same sequence under 3 other names. The record is from RNAcentral. Lineage: Archaea; Methanobacteriati; Methanobacteriota; Methanomicrobia; Methanotrichales; Methanotrichaceae.